Molecule: small nuclear RNA, 104 nt
Organism: Molossus molossus (Pallas's mastiff bat)
Lineage: Eukaryota; Metazoa; Chordata; Mammalia; Chiroptera; Molossidae
Source: RefSeq, a predicted model, not a curated record
GUGCUCAUUUUAGCAGCACAUAUAUUAAAAUCAGAACGAUACAGAGAUUAGCAUGGCCCCUGUGCAAGGAUAACAUACAAAUUCGUGAAACAUUCCAUAUUUUU